AUUCCAGCUCCAAUAGCGUAUAUUAAAGUUGUUGCGGUUAAAAAGCUCGUAGUUGGAUUUCUGCUGAGGACGACCGGUCCGCCCUCUGGGUGAGUAUCUGGCUCGGCCUUGGCAUCUUCUUGGGGAACGUAACUGCACUUGACUGUGUGGUGCGGUAUCCAGGACUUUUACUUUGAGGAAAUUAGAGUGUUUCAAGCAGGCGCACGCCUUGAAUACAUUAGCAUGGAAUAAUAAGAUAGGACUUAGUCGUUAUUUUGUUGGUCUUGCACGUCUAGGUAAUGAUUAAUAGGGAUAGUUGGGGGUAUUCAUAUUUAAUUGUCAGAGGUGAAAUUCUUGGAUUUAUGAAAGAUGAACUUAUGCGAAAGCAUUUACCAUGGAUGUUUUCAUUG
Molecule: ribosomal RNA, 389 nt
Filed under: Dinophyceae sp.
Lineage: Eukaryota; Dinophyceae
Description: partial small subunit ribosomal RNA
Rfam family: Eukaryotic small subunit ribosomal RNA
Source: RNAcentral